This is a non-coding RNA of Ceratotherium simum simum (southern white rhinoceros), 123 nucleotides long. The record is from RefSeq and is a predicted model, not a curated record. Lineage: Eukaryota; Metazoa; Chordata; Mammalia; Perissodactyla; Rhinocerotidae.
CGUUGCACAAACAUCAUAGAGGGUACUUGCAGAAACCUAGAUGGUAUAGCCUACCACACACCUGGGCUAUUUGGUACUAAUCUCGUGGGACCGUUGUCACAUAUGCAGUCCACUGUGACUGAA